AGCUCAGUAGCUCAGUGGUUAGAGCAGGGGAUUCAUAAGCCCAAGGUCGCAGGUUCAAAUCCAGUCUGAGCUA
RNAcentral lists this transfer RNA (73 nucleotides) under Boldia erythrosiphon. RNAcentral's name for it is "tRNA-Met". It matches the Rfam family "tRNA". From Rfam's summary of the family: Transfer RNA (tRNA) molecules are approximately 80 nucleotides in length. The record is from RNAcentral. Lineage: Eukaryota; Rhodophyta; Compsopogonophyceae; Compsopogonales; Boldiaceae.